UCUGGUUGAUCCUGCCAGACCCGACUGCUAUCAGAAUGAGAUUAAGCCAUGCGAGUCGACGUAGCAAUACGUGGCACACGGCUCAGUAACACGUAGUCAACAUAACCAGAGGACGUGGAUAAACUCGGGAAACUGAGGCUAAACCGCGAUAGACCAAGAUACCUGGAAUGGUUUUUGAUCAAAAUCUGUAUGGCCUUUGGAUCGGACUGCGACCGAUCAGGCUGUUGGUGAGGUAAUGGCCCACCAAACCUGUAACCGGUACGGGCUCUGAGAGGAGGAGCCCGGAGAUGGGUACUGAGAAAAGGACCCAGGCCCUAUGGGGCGCAGCAGGCGCGAAACCUCUGCAAUAGGCGAAAGCCUGACAGGGUUAUUCUGAGUGACUUUCGCUAAGAAAGUCUUUUGACAUCUCUAAAAAUGGUGUAGAAUAAGGGGUGGGCAAGUCUGGUGUCAGCCGCCGCGGUAAUACCAGCACCCCGAGUGGUCGGGACGAUUAUUGGGCCUAAAGCAUCCGUAGCCGGUUUUACAAGUCCUCCGUUAAAUCCAACUGCUUAACAGAUGGGCCGCGGAGGAUACUAUAAGACUAGGAGGCAGGAGAGGCAAGCGGUACUCAGUGGGUAGGGGUAAAAUCCGUUGAUCCAUUGAAGACCACCAGUGGCGAAGGCGGCUUGCCAGAACGCACUCGACGGUGAGGGAUGAAAGCUGGGGGAGCAAACCGGAUUAGAUACCCGGGUAGUCCC
RNAcentral lists this ribosomal RNA (737 nucleotides) under uncultured soil archaeon. Its description in RNAcentral is "bacterial SSU rRNA". It matches the Rfam family "Archaeal small subunit ribosomal RNA", at positions 1 to 748 of the family's 1478-position model. The record is from RNAcentral.